Molecule: ribosomal RNA, 459 nt
Filed under: Triticum aestivum (bread wheat)
Lineage: Eukaryota; Viridiplantae; Streptophyta; Magnoliopsida; Poales; Poaceae
Description: partial small subunit ribosomal RNA
Source: RNAcentral
AUGAGUAUCCUCGUGUGGAACUGUCAUGGUGCUGGCAAACUAGCGACAACUCGAGAGCUUUGCAAUAUGGCGAAGCAGUUUGUCCCCUCUAUUGUAUGCAUUGUUGAAACUCAAUUAGAGGGUAGUCGUGUGGAAAACUUAGCUGAAACACUUGGUUAUAAUAAAGGUUUUGUUGUUAGCAGAUCUCGUACAAGUGGUGGUUUAGGUGUUUUUUGGAAUGAUUCAAUAAAGGUUGAGAUUACCGGUUACUCUGAGUACCAUGUGGAUAUUGAAGUGGAUUCAUUAGUAGGUGUUCACGCAAGGUUUACUUUCAUGUAUGGAGAGGCCCAGGUAAACGAGAGGUUCAAAACAUGGAAUAUGUUGACGGGCAUAACUAGAUCAAGCUCUAUACCAUGGGCAGCUUUGGGGGACUUUAAUGAAGUUCUGAGAGCAGAUGAACAUGACAGAGUUGGUAACUGA